RNAcentral lists this long non-coding RNA (504 nucleotides) under Monodelphis domestica (gray short-tailed opossum). RNAcentral describes it as "lncRNA (ENSMODG00000043374.1)". Lineage: Eukaryota; Metazoa; Chordata; Mammalia; Didelphimorphia; Didelphidae. The record is from RNAcentral.
AACCAGGACUCUUUCUCCUUCUCCUAUUAGACAUUAAGAUGGAGCCUCUGGCUUGCUAAGGAAUCUCCUUUGCAUGGAUCAUUGAUUUAGAUAUAGAAGAGACCUCAGAAGUCAUCUAGUUCAAGUGCUUUAUUCUAUAGGUGAAGAAGAUGAGAAUAAGCCUGGAGAACUGAAGAGAAUUGUUCAAAAUUACAGUCAGCAUUCCAGUUUACAGAUGAGGGAACCAAGGUACUCAAAGAAUCUCUCACAAAGGAGGAUUGGAUACUGAUAAUGCUGUUGGAAAUUAUUGUUCAGGUAAGAGUUUAACUAGAUGGUAUUAGGCAUUCCUUAAAACUCUGAAAUUUUAUGAUCUGGCUCUUUAAAAUACACUUGGGGAAUUUUUUUGUAGUCAUUUUGGUUUUUUGCUGGUGCCGUGGAUAAAGUCCUGGUCUAAGGACUAGAAGUCCUGAGUCCAAAUUCUGUCUGAGAUAAUUACUAGCUCUGUCACCCUAAGCAAGUCUAAUA